This 289-nucleotide ribosomal RNA is filed under the name uncultured bacterium. RNAcentral's name for it is "partial 16S ribosomal RNA". It matches the Rfam family "Bacterial small subunit ribosomal RNA", at positions 338 to 644 of the family's 1533-position model. The record is from RNAcentral.
CCUACGGGAGGCAGCAGUGGGGGAUAUUGCACAAUGGGGGGAACCCUGAUGCAGCGACGCCGCGUGAGCGAAGAAGUACCUCGGUAUGUAAAGCUCUAUCAGCAGGGAAGAAAAUGACGGUACCUGACUAAGAAGCCCCGGCUAAAUACGUGCCAGCAGCCGCGGUAAUACGUAUGGUGCAAGCGUUAUCCGGAUUUACUGGGUGUAAAGGGAGCGCAGGCGGUGCGGCAAGUCUGAUGUGAAAGCCCGGGGCUCAACCCCGGGACUGCAUUGGAAACUACCGAACUAG